Molecule: ribosomal RNA, 433 nt
Filed under: uncultured bacterium
Lineage: Bacteria
Description: partial 16S ribosomal RNA
Rfam family: Bacterial small subunit ribosomal RNA
Source: RNAcentral
AACGAACGCUGGCGGCAUGCCUAACACAUGCAAGUCGAACGAGACCUUCGGGUCUAGUGGCGCACGGGUGCGUAACGCGUGGGAACCUGCCCUUAGGUUCGGAAUAACUCCCCGAAAGGGGUGCUAAUACCGGAUAAUGUCUUAGGACCAAAGAUUUAUCGCCUUUGGAUGGGCCCGCGUUGGAUUAGCUAGUUGGUAGGGUAAAAGCCUACCAAGGCGACGAUGCAUAGCUGGUCUGAGAGGAUGAUCAGCCACACUGGGACUGAGACACGGCCCAGACUCCUACGGGAGGCAGCAGUAGGGAAUAUUGGACGCUGGGCGAAAGCGUGAUCCAGCAGUGCCGCGUGAGUGAUGAAGGCCUUAGGGUUGUAAAGCUCUUUUACCCGGGAUGAUAAUGACAGUACCGGGAGAAUAAGCACCGGCUAACUCCGUG